GUCUGUGUGGCUUACAGACAAAGGCCAAUAUUGUAGACGACAAUAUUUUUAUAAAAACAUAUUUAAAAGGGCUAAUCGUCAAAUACAGAGCCAUACUAGGCUCACAGCUUUUCACAACCAAAUCUGAGCUGCGUGAAACGCUGGUACAAGUGAAAUAUCUGUUCGGAAAAGAACAAAAUCAAAUUAUCAAUUUGCCUGUCAUUCCACCGAGGAAUGAUGACAGGAAAUUCUAUGACGAGGGAAAUAAAAGAAAUGCCCCUUGUUCACAUGUUAAUACACAUAAUGCUUUUAGUGUGGAGAAAGAAGCACCGCCCAGCAAAGAUGUGGAGAUGGAGCAGCAUGAUGAGGAGCAGCAUGCGGAGCAGCCUGUGGAACUGCUGGCGAUUGGAUCGGAAGUAGAAUAUAAGUCUGGUGAGACCGGUCCAAAUAUUAAUGUGUUGAUUGCUCAACAGGAGUUCAGGGCGUUAGUCGACACAGGAGCGUCGAUUUCCUGUUUAUCUGAGGCGUUCAUUUCAGAACUCAACAUUAAAUACACCAAGAACAGUUCUUAUGAAGCUUCUUCAGUCUCUGGCGCGCAGUUGCAUGUACUGGGCGAAACAUACAUAAAUUUUUUGAUAGAUUCGUGUUUAUUUAGGCAUAAAUUUCUAAUUAUAAAAAAUAUUCGCCAAAAUAUAAUUUUAGGAAGAGAUUUUCUUUCCAAAAAUAAUUGUAUUAUAGAUUUUUCCAAAAAUAAUUUAAUUUUAAAAACGAGGUUUAUUGCAAAAUUUAUUAAAACUGACAUUGUCGGAAAAGAUAGAUUAGUGUCAAAUAUGCUGACAGAUAAGGGUCACCAUAGUGACAAAAAUAAUGACAAAAUGACAUGUGACAUUGAUAACGAAAUAAAGAAAAUUAAUUAUAUUUAUUUUCGAAAUAAAAUAAAAGCAAAAUAUAAUCGGAAUAAAGUUUUGCGAAAGCGACAUAAACGUGUUGUUUCGAAAUCUAGGAAGACUUCCACGUCAUCAAAGUUGUACGAGCAUUGCCGGUGAAGGGAUAAGAAGGUGAGCUACUUCAUCUUCGUGAGAAGAUGAUGUCCACGGCAGAGCUACUUCAUCUUCAAUAUGAAGGAAGAUGAAGAUAACCAAUGUGGUCAAGCCUGUGUUAUUUUUAUAAGUUUUUUUU
Long non-coding RNA from Helicoverpa zea (corn earworm), 1158 nucleotides. RefSeq lists it as uncharacterized. Lineage: Eukaryota; Metazoa; Arthropoda; Insecta; Lepidoptera; Noctuidae. The transcript is spliced from 2 exons. The record is from RefSeq and is a predicted model, not a curated record.